AUGCUCCCUCAGUCCGCUUACCGAGGAAUAGAAAGGGAGGACCGGGGGCCAGAGCAAGUUGGGUUGGGGUAUAGAGCCGUAAGCGCGGUGGGGGGGUUACAAAGGAUGUGCUCGUACGGUUCAAAGAAGGGUAUGAUCAACUCGUUGUUGGGAACUUUCACUCCUCUAUAUUCAAAAUAUGCCUUUCUAGGAGCAUUACGAUCUGCAGCUCAAAUGGUCUCUUAUGAAGUCUCUAUUGGUCUUAUUCUUAUUGUGCGCCUUGUGAGCGCGUUUGGAUCCGCGAAGGCAAUCGCUCGGAUGUUCCCCUAA
This 309-nucleotide long non-coding RNA is filed under the name Vicia faba (fava bean). The record is from RNAcentral. Lineage: Eukaryota; Viridiplantae; Streptophyta; Magnoliopsida; Fabales; Fabaceae.